GGUAUCUAGUGGACACAGGCCAAGGAUGCUGGCAGGCAUGCUAUGCUGCCCAGAACAGUGUCUGAUGACAGGGACCUGCCUUAUCAAAAUAGCAGGCAUGCGGAGGUGGACACCCCACACCAGAGCAGCCCUUCUCAGCUCUACCCUGCCUGGGGAAGGAGGAGGAACCCUGGUUUCAGGGCAGUGCUGGGAUUACCUUUUCCCAGGCUCCUUCCAUGGCAGCUGUCCAGGAAGAGCUGCACUUGCUAGGCCUGGGACCACACGUCUACAGAAACCCUGCUCUGCUGGCCUGAGCCCCCGGCCUUCGCCUCCUGUGCUUGGGUAACCAUGGCCACUCGGAGAAGCAAGGACCAUUUUUGACUCAGAAUCAUCCAGCUAAUGUAGAAAAUCAAGUGUGCUUUCAAAGGAUGCAGAUUUGCUUUCUUGGAGAGGUGAAAGAACGAGUUCUGUGCUAGAAAACUUUCAAGGAAGUCUCAUUUGUGUUAGAGCAGAGGAGGUCCUAGAUACCACAUGGCCCCUCCCAGGAAAGGCUGGGAGAAGAGGUGGCCUGAAGCACCCUGGGAUCCCAGCAGCACACACAGUUGAGGGAUGAGGAUGAAUGAGUCCCACCCCUGAUUUUGAUGGGAAGUGUUCAUGUCCCGUCUCCUUUCCUGGACACAUGAAGGGGUUGGGACAAGAAGAGACCCCUGUGAGAUCAGCAGACGUUGUGCUUGAGGAGAGGAUACCAGCCUGCAACACCCACGGAGAGGGACUCUUCAGGCCUUACCUGCUAAAUGCCUCCAAACUCCAGGCGGGCGUCCGCAUUCUCAACACAGGCCUUUCUUUACAGUUUCCUGAUGAGUGACCACCACCACCACGUUCAAGUUUCGAAUGCAGACCCACCACAAGGGACGGAUUCCACCCGCCCGUCCUGCUGCAGAUCUGCAACACAGCAGGUGUGUGUCUGGAGACAACAGCUCCUGAGCACAGUGCCCUCGGAGCCCUCACUGCACUUCAGGGGCCAUGCCAGUGCUGAUGAUGCCGUCAUGCCACUGGCCUCUGACAGUAUCCUGGCUACACCAGGACGCUGGGUUCCAGAAGCUGUGGCUGUCACCUUGAGGGCUGACCGGCGGCCUUCCAAACCCAGGAAACUGACCUGCAGGAGGGCCUACUCAUGGGCCCAGCAAAAAUUUAGCUGGGCAACAGCUGGCUCUUGAUGACACCUUGACCAAUGUGCUUUGGGUGGACGGUAUCCUACGUAUUCAGUGGAGACCACCAGGAGCACCCGUGAGUGGGGCAGGGGCCCACACCCUUACAUGAUGAAUUCAUAGGAUGGGGUGCUUGGUGGAUGGGCUGUGGGGGUCUGUGACUCGGGACUGGGCCCACACCAUCCCAGAGGGCUCAGGAUGCCCCAGGAGGGAAAGAAGGGGAACAAACCACAUGAUUGGACAUGUGUGGUUGGCUGGAAUGAUGGUGGGAGGGGCACGGCCUUGCAGGGGAUUGGUGCUCAUCCCAGGGAGGAAGUACUGGGGCUUGAUGACCUAGGAUGAAAGGGGGCCUCUGAGCCAUAACAAGGGGCACAUCAGAGAUUUCCGCCAGCAGGCCCUGGUUGUCAUUGGGCAGGGAUGCAGUCAGCCCCAAGGGUUGCCACCCACUUGUGUGUGGCCCUCUGUCGUGGCAGGGAAAUGUAGACCUCUUGUCUCAGCACCAACCUUCCUUGUAUAGUCAGCAGGGCUGGCCCUGCCCCAGGGACUCACUGCAUGUUCCCGGACCUCCAGGCCUGGCCUUUGCAGCAGAGGUGGCAGCCUCUGGAUUCCAUCAGCAGCUGUGAGCCCUACUCUGGCUGUGCACUGCAUGGCCUGAGACCGCUGGACACAAUGUUGGGCAACAACUCAGCCAGCCUGAUAGCAGGUCAGAUGGUCGCUCUAACCCAUCCCAGAAUAAACGAAGACUUCACGUGUUCAUUGUUUCAUUCA
Molecule: RNA transcript, 1955 nt
Organism: Sapajus apella (tufted capuchin)
Lineage: Eukaryota; Metazoa; Chordata; Mammalia; Primates; Cebidae
Exons: 1
Source: RefSeq, a predicted model, not a curated record